This 6120-nucleotide long non-coding RNA is filed under the name Prunus persica (peach). Its description in RNAcentral is "long non-coding RNA (PPER_LNC003983)". Lineage: Eukaryota; Viridiplantae; Streptophyta; Magnoliopsida; Rosales; Rosaceae. The record is from RNAcentral.
GUUGAUGCAGCUUCUGUUCAAAGCUAUCUAAGCAAGAGUUCUCAAGCUCUUUGCCGGAGAGAAACUCCCUCCACUUAGCAUGGUUGGUCCACACCUCUUUGGCUACCUCACUCUCAUCAUCCAUCACAGUUUUCACAGCCUUGCAGACACCCUCCGUUGUAAACACCCCAUCUUCAUCUUCUUUCUCAACCUCCACUCCCACUUUCAAAUCCCUGCUCAUCAUUCUUGCAUUGAUGAUCUGAUCUCCCAUAUUUGGCAGCAGCACCAAUCGGCACUCAUUCACCAGAGCCUCCGAUAAAGACCCCGAACCGCAAUGGGUCACAAAGCACCCCACAGAAGGGUGCUUCAAUAUCAAUGGCUGCUGAACCCAACCCCCAUGAACAAUUCCUUUUCCUUGCACCCUCUCUUCAAACCCUUCUGGCAAUGCUGCCUCAAUCGAUUCGACUCCCAUGGGUGGCUUCAGGGCUGCGAAGAAUGGCAGACCCGUAAGCUCAAAACCCAAUAGCAAUUCCUGGAACUGAGCCUUGUUCAGAAUGCAUUCACUGCCAAACGCACAGUAUAUCACGGUUUUGGCUUUGAACCCAUCAAACCAUUUUGCCCAUUUCUCAUCUAACUCUGUAGUUGGGGACUCUGGCACCACCGGCCCUGCAAGAAUCACUGGCUUUCCAAACUGGGUUUCAACAUAAUCACAAUAAGGCCCUUCCAUUUCUCUGCAAGUUUUGAAAGCAAUGGCAUCACAGUUGCUAAAAGAGCCCAUUUGGCGUUCCAGGAAUGUAACCCCACGCCCAAACUCCAUCAAUGAGGCACCCACCAGCGCUCGAGCUUCGUGGGUUUGUAGCUUGAUUGAUGAUGCAGGGAAAGAUGGUGGAGGCUCCAUAAGAUCAGCUUCUGUCAAUGAUAUUUCCAAAAGUUUUCUUUCCGGGCACAUCAGAAACCCCACAGUUGCAGGACUAAUUGUGCAGUAAUACACAGACUUGAUGCCUAUAUCCAGCUUAUGCAACAACUCGGGCAGCCAAUGUGUGAAGUCAAAGAAAACAAAGUUGGGCCUGAGCUCACAAAGUGCUUGUUCAAUGGCAGGGCGUGUGAGGUCCAUGGCGGUCACGAGGAGAGGCUGCAAGAGGGAAGGAACGUCGGCUGUGGUUUCGGUGCCGGGAGGAAGGCCGUCGACAUGUGGGACGUCGAUUGGGAUGAAGGAAAUGCGAUGAGAGUGGAGAUUAAAAGCCUCCAACUUUUGUUGUACUUUUGAUGGUGAAAAGAAGGAGAUUCUGUGGCCUCUUUGAGCAAGUUUGUUGGAGAUGUGCAGAAAUGAGGUCAGGUGCCCCAUGGCAAACCAAGGGUACAUGGCAAUGUGAAGGGUUUGGUCAGCCAUAUUUGCAGCAAGUAAAUUGGGUGAAAUCAAGGAAAUCACCUAAUUUUGAUGGGUUUGAGCCUGGUGGUGCUGAGCUUGAGCUUGGUAAUGCAGGGAGAGGUAGUUGGAAGCUCUUGAGUUGAGGUGCGUGGUUGCGGUGAUAAAUUUGGGUAAGUGGGGAUGUGAGGGCGUUAUUGUGAGGUCGUUAUUAUUUAUUGUUGGACUCUUACCUAUGCAUUUUCUUUUAUUUAAUGUAAAUAUAAAUGGAGGCAGAACUUUGACAAAAAAGUGGUUCAAAUUGAUCUUUAUCUUUAAUAAUAUCAAUCUUCUUUUAUUUAAUGCAAAUAUAAAUAGAGGCAGAAGUUUGCCAAAAACGUGGUUCAAAAUGAGCUUUCUCUUUAAUAAUAUCAAUUUUCUUUUAUUUAAUGCAAAUAUAAAUAGAGGCAGAACUUUGCCAAAAAAGUGGUUCAAAAUGAACUUUCUCUUUAAUGAUAGUGUGGAUAAGAUUGAGUUGAUACCCUUGUUUUUUUUGAAAUAUUUUUGCUCACUACUUUAAUCUAAGGUGUAUGCUCAUAUUUUUUCUUAAUACUUGAUAUGUAUCUAUAGGCAUAACCAUAGUUAACUUUUUAUUUUGAUUUGCAUAAUCAUGAUUAUGCUUAUAAACAUGUUUCAAGUGUUAAUAAGGUGAUGAGCAUACAUACCUUGGAUUAAAGUGGUGAAAAAAAAUGCCUCCCUUUCUUUUCCUAGCUAAACAUCAAGUGAAUAUAUAUUUUUUUUUUUGGGGGUGUCACAACAAAUUGUACACUUCAAAUUUUGUGGUUGGACCAGAUGGAUUUAAAAUUAUGGAAUUGGUCCUUGUUAGUCAGCCCAUAAUAAUAAUGGGCUAUAAAUUGAGUUCCAAAUAAUUGGGUCCUUGUUUACUCAUGGUCAGUUUGUUAUUGCUGUGCUGUGAAAAUAAUUAUUGUCAGAUUUGCUGUGAGAGAAAGUAGUUUGGCGUUUGGUAAAAUUUUUAUUAAAAGUGUUGUUGGUACUAAUUCCCGUAUAAUUAGAAAAUGAUUUGAACAUAAUCAAUAAACCUAGCGUCUCUUCAAAAUUGAUUCCUACAUAAUCAGAAAAUGAAAGCACCUCAUUAGCUGCUUUCCCUUAUAGAUUUCUCUCACAGCAAUUUUUAACAAUAAGUGAUUUUCUCAUAAUUUGUAAUAUUCCACAUCGAUCCCACAUCGACCAACGGAGAGGGAGUGAUGUGCCUUAUAUGUACAUGCCCACCUCCAUCUAGCACGAGGCCUUUUGGGAGCUCACUGGCUUCGGAGUCAUGGGAACUCUGAAGUUAAGCAAGUUAGUUGCUCGUGAGUUCCUAAAAACAAAACCUUGAGGGCAGUGGCCCAAAGCACACAAUGCCGGAUAAGCAACUAUCAUGUGUUGUCGUUGCAAAUUCCACUAAUUCGUCAAAUAAGAAGGUACUUCAGUGCAUAUGUUAGCUUUAUCUCUUGGUUAAGUUAAUCAUUUAAGACCUGAAGCAUGCAUGUGAAGAUUUUAGUAAAACAAAUGUAAAAUUUUGUUAUUAGAUCUGUUGUCAACCCAGAUUGCAAUUGCUGCAGGUAUGUCAGGGACCCUUUGAUCAAUUGAGUUCAGAUUGGAUAAUGAAUUUGAAAUCGGUGCAAUGCUAACUGGUUACGUUUAUUUCAGACGGCCUCUUUCUUGUUAGAAAGCUAUCUGUCACCCUUGCAAGUGGAAUUUUUCUCAUUACAAUCAGUGCUCUUGGCCAACUUGGUUUUACCUAUCCACAUAAAGGUGGAAAGUACUUGAGAGAAGACAGGUCUUUUCAAUCAUCUGAAGUUGAUGGUGCACUAUAUCAGUCGGUGGAUGCUGUGAAGGUAUGCAUGCACCGAGAGGAAUGAUAAUAUCAUGUCAAUCAAAUUGAAAAUAUUUUGGAUUCUGUAAUGAACUUAUCUAUAAUUAGUUUGUGAACAAUUUUCACUGGAGGCUUCCUAAAAUGGGAGAAUGAGAAGCAGGUUGCAUAUAUAGAAGUUCUCCUACAAGUGUACUCAAUAAAGGGUUGUGAUUAAAUGAAAAAUAAAGAUUUACCUUUUCGCCUCAUCUUACAAUGCUUCUUAGUUGGUCUGAGAAAAAUAUGAAUUUGGGACUCUGUUUGUACAGUUGGAAGCAUUUUGCGUCUCACUUGUCGAAAAGAUGAAAGAUGCCUUGGGUUGGCCGGGUGAGAUCAAGAUGGAAACAGAUGUGGGUGCUUGGACUGGUAAAGUACCAAAUUACUUGAGGAUGGUAGUUGAAGAUUCGUCCAACAGGGAAGACAUGUCAACUUUUUCUUCCUCUUCAGAGAAAAUUGAUGAAGACUUGAAAGCAUCAGCACAAGAUAUCGCUAGUUAUCAGGUAACUUGUGUGUAAAAGUUUACUUUCAUGUGUUUUUUCAGCCACCAUUCAAUUUGGUUAUCUUUCUCCUUCACAAUUAUUUCUAAGAUAUUGUGACCACCUAUAUGGAGAAAUGUCUUAUAGGUUACAUCUUUAGGAUGCUGGUGUACCAUAUCAUUGCCAUCAUGUGGUAUUUGGGAAAAUCAUGAUCAUGUAGCUCUCGGCUUAUUACUCAAUUGUUGAUUAUCCUCCUUGUACCUUUUCAAUGUCUUUAACAUUUCUGCAUACUCUUUGGAAAAAUUUAGGUGGUUCUGUCAACCGAUGGUAAGAUAGUGGGCUUCCAACCUUUGAGCAGUGUGGCUGUUAACCAGUGGGCUGCCAAUCCCUUAGCAAAAGAAUUAUAUAGAGGGCGAAAACUUUCACCUGGUAAGUGCUAGCUGUUUUUGUAAUCUAUUAUUAUUGUGUUAUUAGCUGCCACUAACCUUUGAGAUUGUCUCAAAUAGGUUUAACAGAACCGGGUCUUAAGGUCCAGCGUCCAAAUGAGUUGCUGUCAUAGAGUUGUUGAUUUCAGUAAAGCCCGAUGCCUGUUUUGCUUUGGCCAGGCCAGUUCGAUAAUUAUCGUCUGGUAAUUGCGUAUAAGGAUGAGCAUGCACAUCUCGGUGAUGCCAGUGGCACUACAUGUGGUUUGGCACCUGCAGUGUCGAGUUUUAGAGCUUAGAGCGUCUUUGAGAUAUAUCGACUGAAGCAAACCAGAAUGUUCACCCUCUUUGAGAUAUUGGAAGAUGCACCCUGUGGGUUGUGGUUUGUUACCUUUGAGUAAGUCACUCUCGUGGAUGUGGCCUGAUAUAUAACUUACUCGCCAGGAAUAAAACGUCGAAAAGUUACUUGUGUAUCAUUAUCUUAGAAAAGGAAGAGUCAAUGUUCAGUUCCUUCUCAAUACAUGUUUACGAACUUGAAAAAAAAAAAUUUGAUUAAGAAGAUCGUUUGUCACACACAUAACAAAAGAAAUUGGUGAGAAUUAAAGUAUUGUCUGUUUGUCAAAGAAGAAGACCCUUGAUUAAGCUCAAUAAUAAUAAAACUCAAUUAUAAGAUUGGAAAAAUUAUACAAGUGUGCGUGUGUGUGUGAAUUAAAGCAAUCAGGGGGCCUUUAAAGUUAUACACAGAAAAUUCAUUGAAGCAGUUGAUGCAGCUUCUGUUCAAAGCUAUCUAAGCAAGAGUUCUCAAGCCCUUUGCCAGUGAAAAACUCCCUCCACUUAGCAUGGUUGGUCCUCACCUCCUUGGCUACCUCACUCUCAUCAUCCAUCACAGUUUUCACAGCCUUGCAGACACCCUCCGUUGUAAACACCCCAUCUUCAUCUCCUUUCUCAACCUCCACUCCCACUUUCAAAUCCCUGCUCAUCAUUCUUGCAUUGAUGAUCUGAUCUCCCACAUUUGGCAGCAGCACCAAUCGGCACUCAUUCAUCAGAGCCUCCGAUAAAGACCCCGAACCGCAGUGGGUCACAAAGCACCCCACAGAAGGGUGUUUCAAUAUCAAUGGCUGCUGAACCCAACCCCCAUGAACAAUUCCCCUUCCUUGCACCCUCUCUUCAAACCCUUCUGGCAAUGCUGCCUCAAUCGAUUCGACUCCCAUGGGUGGCUUCAGGGCUGCGAAGAACGGCAGACCGGUAAGCUCAAACCCCAAUAGCAAUUCCUGGAACUGAGCCUUGUUCAGAAUGCAUUCACUGCCAAACGCGCAGUAUAUCACGGUUUUGGCUUCGAACCCAUCAAACCAUUUUGCCCAUUUCUCAUCUAACUCUGUAGUUGGGGACUCUGGCACCACCGGCCCUGCAAGAAUCACUGGCUUUCCAAACUGGGUUUCAACAUAAUCACAAUAAGGCCCUUCCAUUUCUCUGCAAGUUUUGAAAGCAAUGGCAUCACAGUUGCUAAAAGAGCCCAUUUGGCGUUCCAGGAAUGUAACCCCACGCCCAUACUCCAUCAAUGUGGCUCCUACCAGCGCUCGAGCUUCGUGGGUUUGUAGCUUGAUUGAUGAUGCAGGGAAAGAUGGUGGAGGCUCCAUAAGAUCAGCUUCUGUCAAUGAUUUUUCGAAAAGUUUUCUUUCGGGGCUUAUCAGAAACCCAACAGUUGCAGGACUAAUUGUGCAGUAAUGCACAGACUUGAUGCCUAUAUCCAGCUUAUGCAACAACUCGGGCAGCCAAUGUGUGAAGUCGAAGAAAACAAAGUUUGGCCUGAGCUCACAAAGUGCUUGUUCAAUGGCAGGGCGUGUGAGGUCCAUGGCGGUCACGAGGAGAGAGUGCAAGGGGAAAGGAACGUCGGCUGUGGUUUCGGUGCCGGGAGGAAGGCCGUCCACAUGUGGGACGUCGAUUGGGAUGAAGGAAAUGCGAUGAGAGUGGAGAUUAAAAGCCUCC